This 742-nucleotide ribosomal RNA is filed under the name bacterium EA10-56. RNAcentral's name for it is "bacterial SSU rRNA". It matches the Rfam family "Bacterial small subunit ribosomal RNA", at positions 52 to 788 of the family's 1533-position model. The record is from RNAcentral.
CACAUGCAAGUCGAACGGCAGCGCGGGAGCAAUCCUGGCGGCGAGUGGCGAACGGGUGAGUAAUACAUCGGAACGUGCCCAAUCGUGGGGGAUAACGCAGCGAAAGCUGUGCUAAUACCGCAUAAGAUCUACGGAUGAAAGCAGGGGAUCGCAAGACCUUGCGCGAAUGGAGCGGCCGAUGGCAGAUUAGGUAGUUGGUGAGGUAAAGGCUCACCAAGCCUUCGAUCUGUAGCUGGUCUGAGAGGACGACCAGCCACACUGGGACUGAGACACGGCCCAGACUCCUACGGGAGGCAGCAGUGGGGAAUUUUGGACAAUGGGCGAAAGCCUGAUCCAGCCAUGCCGCGUGCAGGAUGAAGGCCUUCGGGUUGUAAACUGCUUUUGUACGGAACGAAACGGCCUUUUCUAAUAAAGAGGGCUAAUGACGGUACCGUAAGAAUAAGCACCGGCUAACUACGUGCCAGCAGCCGCGGUAAUACGUAGGGUGCAAGCGUUAAUCGGAAUUACUGGGCGUAAAGCGUGCGCAGGCGGUUAUGUAAGACAGUUGUGAAAUNCCCGGGCUCAACCUGGGAACUGCAUCUGUGACUGCAUAGCUAGAGUACGGUAGAGGGGGAUGGAAUUCCGCGUGUAGCAGUGAAAUGCGUAGAUAUGCGGAGGAACNCNNNUGGCGAAGGCAAUCCNNNUGGACCUGUACUGACGCUCAUGCACGAAAGCGUGGGGAGCAAACAGGAUUAGAUACCCU